UGUGUAUCAGUACAUGGCAUAUCAAUAAGCGGAGGAAAAGAAACUAACUAGGAUUCCCUCAGUAACGGCGAGUGAAGCGGGAAGAGCUCAAAUUUGAAGUCUUCAAGGUUUUCCCUUGACGAAUUGUAGUUUAAAGAAGUGUUUUCUGUUGAAGUUUUGGUAAAAGUUCUUUGGAAUAGGACAUCAUAGAGGGUGAGAAUCCCGUAUUUGACCAUUAUUCUUCCAGCUGUGUGAUACACUUUCAAAGAGUCGGAUUGUUUGGGAAUGCAGUCCAAAAUGGGUGGUAAAUUUCAUCUAAAGCUAAAUAUUGGCGAGAGACCGAUAGCGAACAAGUACCGUGAGGGAAAGAUGAAAAGAACUUUGAAAAGAGAGUUAAACAGUACGUGAAAUUGUCAAAAGGGAAGCGUUUGACACCAGUGUUGUUUUCUCGAAAAUCAAUUAAAAAUGAUGGGAUUUUGUGUUGUAUUGACUUUAUCAGCUUUCUGCACUUUUUUCUUAUCUUUUUUAAUACACUUUUCGUUUAACAAGUCAACAUCAAUUUCUUUUGUUGUAAAAGAGUCAUUGGAGGGUGGCUUUUUCUUCGGAAAAAGUGUUUAUAGCCUUUGGCUUCUGCAAUCGGAGAGAUUGAGGUCUGCAGCGUAGAUCCUUCGGGGUUAGAUACAUUUGUGCUAAGCUAUAGUUCUUUAUAGACAACUUGUUGACUAUAAUCAAUCCUGUAACUUACUCGCUUAUGCUAUUUUACCUACGCUUAGGAUGUUGACAGCAGUAUAGACUGU
RNAcentral lists this ribosomal RNA (776 nucleotides) under uncultured Neocallimastigales. RNAcentral describes it as "partial large subunit ribosomal RNA". The stretch from base 7 to 695 matches the Rfam family "Eukaryotic large subunit ribosomal RNA", at positions 24 to 664 of the family's 3401-position model. Lineage: Eukaryota; Fungi; Neocallimastigomycota; Neocallimastigomycetes; Neocallimastigales. The record is from RNAcentral.